AGGCGAACGGCUGAGUAACACGUGGGCAACCUGCCCUUUGCACUGGGAUAGCCUCGGGAAACCGAGGUUAAUACCGGAUACUCCAUAUCCAUCGCAUGAUAGAUAUGGGAAAGCUCCGGCGGCAAAGGAUGGGCCCGCGGCCUGUUAGCUAGUUGGUGGGGUAGUGGCCUACCAAGGCAAUGAUGGGUAGCCGGGUUGAGAGACCGACCGGCCAGAUUGGGACUGAGACACGGCCCAGAUUCCUACGGGAGGCAGCAGGC
RNAcentral lists this ribosomal RNA (260 nucleotides) under uncultured Atopobium sp. RNAcentral's name for it is "partial 16S ribosomal RNA". It matches the Rfam family "Bacterial small subunit ribosomal RNA", at positions 96 to 354 of the family's 1533-position model. Lineage: Bacteria; Bacillati; Actinomycetota; Coriobacteriia; Coriobacteriales; Atopobiaceae. The record is from RNAcentral.